Cercocebus atys (sooty mangabey) is the source of this 215-nucleotide small nucleolar RNA. Its record names the gene U3. It matches the Rfam family "Small nucleolar RNA U3". From Rfam's summary of the family: Small nucleolar RNAs (snoRNAs) are involved in the processing and modification of rRNA in the nucleolus. There are two main classes of snoRNAs: the box C/D class, and the box H/ACA class. Lineage: Eukaryota; Metazoa; Chordata; Mammalia; Primates; Cercopithecidae. The record is from Ensembl.
AAGAGUAUAAUUUCAGGCAUCAAUUCUGUAGUUCCUUACUAGAGAAGUUUCUCUCAAUGUGUACAGCACUGGAAACCAUGAGGAGGUGGCAGGACAGCAUUCUCUGCUGAGCGUGAGGUUGGCUCUUGGUGUUGCUUUGCUGCAACUGUCAUUUGCCAUUGAUGAUGGUUCUUCUCUUCCUCCAAGGGAGAGGGAGAGAAUGCAGUCUGAGUGGG